GGCUUACCAAGGCGACGAUCAGUAGCCGACCUGAGAGGGUGAUCGGCCACAUUGGAACUGAGACACGGUCCAAACUCCUACGGGAGGCAGCAGUGGGGAAUAUUGCACAAUGGGCGAAAGCCUGAUGCAGCAACGCCGCGUGAGUGAUGAAGGCCUUCGGGUCGUAAAACUCUGUCCUCAAGGAAGAUAAUGACGGUACUUGAGGAGGAAGCCCCGGCUAACUACGUGCCAGCAGCCGCGGUAAUACGUAGGGGGCUAGCGUUAUCCGGAUUUACUGGGCGUAAAGGGUGCGUAGGCGGUCUUUCAAGUCAGGAGUGAAAGGCUACGGCUCAACCGUAGUAAGCGCUUGAAACUGGGAGACUUGAGUGCAGGAGAGGAGAGUGGAAUUCCUAGUGUAGCGGUGAAAUGCGUAGAUAUUAGGAGGAACACCAGUUGCGAAGGCGGCUCUCUGGACUGUAACUGACGCUGAGGCACGAAAGCGUGGGGAGCAAACAGGAUUAGAUACCCUGGUAGUCCACGCUGUAAACGAUGAGUACUAGGUGUCGGGGGUUACCCCCCUCGGUGCCGCAGCUAAC
This 575-nucleotide ribosomal RNA is filed under the name Clostridioides difficile. RNAcentral's name for it is "bacterial SSU rRNA". It matches the Rfam family "Bacterial small subunit ribosomal RNA", at positions 262 to 856 of the family's 1533-position model. The record is from RNAcentral. Lineage: Bacteria; Bacillati; Bacillota; Clostridia; Peptostreptococcales; Peptostreptococcaceae.